RNAcentral lists this ribosomal RNA (470 nucleotides) under uncultured Lactobacillus sp. RNAcentral describes it as "partial 16S ribosomal RNA". Lineage: Bacteria; Bacillati; Bacillota; Bacilli; Lactobacillales; Lactobacillaceae. The record is from RNAcentral.
CACGUAGUUAGCCGUGACUUUCUAAGUAAUUACCGUCAAAUAAAGGCCAGUUACUACCUCUAUCUUUCUUCACUACCAACAGAGCUUUACGAGCCGAAACCCUUCUUCACUCACGCGGCGUUGCUCCAUCAGACUUUCGUCCAUUGUGGAAGAUUCCCUACUGCUGCCUCCCGUAGGAGUUUGGGCCAUGUCUCAGUCCCAAUGUGGCCGAUCAGUCUCUCAACUCGGCUAUGCAUCAUUGCCUUGGUAAGCCGUUACCUUACCAACUAGCUAAUGCACCGCAGGUCCAUCCAAGAGUGAUAGCAGAACCAUCUUUACAAACUCUAGACAUGCGUCUAGUGUUGUUAUCCGGUAUUAGCAUCUGUUCAGUGUUAUCCUAGUCUCUUGGGCUACGGUUACCACGUUGUUACUCCACCCGUCCGCCGCUCGCUUGUAUCUUAGUUUCUAUUUUAGUGCAAGACAACUAAAAU